Long non-coding RNA from Pezoporus occidentalis (night parrot), 561 nucleotides. RefSeq lists it as uncharacterized. The transcript is spliced from 3 exons. The record is from RefSeq and is a predicted model, not a curated record. NCBI's taxonomy places the organism in Eukaryota, Metazoa, Chordata, Aves, Psittaciformes, Psittacidae.
CAGUCAAGGAGUGACAUAGCACCAAAGAGCUUCAAAAGGAGAAGGGUUAGAAAGGAACAAGGGUUUGCUGCCUUGUAGCAAGGCUUGUUUCUGUCAAAGUAGCUGCAAGGUACGUGUUUCCCUGCUUAAAAAGUGCUGCCAGGGAUUUGGGUCACUGCAGUGGUCACUGAAUGUGGAAAGAGCAGAGCAGAGAUCAUCCAGCCUGCUCUGACCAGACCAGACGGGAGAGCUCCAAGACACCAAGCAAGCAAGAGGAGGAGGCCAUCGGACCAGUGAUUGCAGGUGCUAAAGUUUAUCUCUUGGACCACAAGUGCUGGAUGAGAGGGGAUGAAGACAUAAAGCCGUGGCACAAUGAGAUGAUGAUCUUCAGGCUUGAUACACACCUCUAGCAAUAAGAGACCUUGCAUCUCUUCCUGUCUUUGUGAGCCCUGGGCAGCCUGAUCUUAAAUCUGUGUAUCCCCUCUGCCAGAUGCUGCUCUGACAGGACACAGAGAUGACACAGCUUGGUGGAGACCAUCAUCCUGCUCCAGACCUUGCACCAGAUAUCCAAGCUAUGGUUCC